This 339-nucleotide ribosomal RNA is filed under the name Bacillus sp. BPGP2. RNAcentral's name for it is "bacterial SSU rRNA". It matches the Rfam family "Bacterial small subunit ribosomal RNA", at positions 51 to 381 of the family's 1533-position model. The record is from RNAcentral. Lineage: Bacteria; Bacillati; Bacillota; Bacilli; Caryophanales; Bacillaceae.
AUACAUGCAGUCGAGCGGACAGAAGGGAGCUUGCUCCCGGAUGUUAGCGGCGGACGGGUGAGUAACACGUGGGUAACCUGCCUGUAAGACUGGGAUAACUCCGGGAAACCGGAGCUAAUACCGGAUAGUUCCUUGAACCGCAUGGUUCAAGGAUGAAAGACGGUUUCGGCUGUCACUUACAGAUGGACCCGCGGCGCAUUAGCUAGUUGGUGGGGUAAUGGCUCACCAAGGCGACGAUGCGUAGCCGACCUGAGAGGGUGAUCGGCCACACUGGGACUGAUACACGGCCCAGACUCCUACGGGAGGCAGCACUAGGGAAUCUUCCGCAAUGGAGUAAAG